AGGACUACCCGGGUUUCUAAUCCCGUUCGCUCCCCUAGCUUUCGUGCCUCAGCGUCAGUAAAGACCCAGUGAUGCGCUUUCGCCACCGGUGUUCCUGUUGAUAUCAACGCAUUUCACCGCUCCACCAACAGUUCCCAUCACCCCUGUCUCCCUCAAGCCUAGUGGUUUGAAGCGCAAUUCCUCGGUUGAGCCGAGGGCUUUCACACCUCACCUACUAGGCCGCCUACGCACGCUUUAAGCCCAGUGAUACCGAAUAACGUUCGGACGGUUCGUCUUACCGCGGCUGCUGGCAC
This 293-nucleotide unclassified non-coding RNA is filed under the name uncultured fungus. Its description in RNAcentral is "sequence contains ITS1". Lineage: Eukaryota; Fungi. The record is from RNAcentral.